AACGCGAAGAACCUUACCAGGGUUUGACAUGCCUGUGCACCACCCAGAGAUGGGUGUGCCCGCAAGGGACGCAGGCACAGGUGCUGCAUGGCUGUCGUCAGCUCGUGUCGUGAGAUGUUGGGUUAAGUCCCGCAACGAGCGCAACCCUCGUCCUAUGUUGUCAGCGGGUCAUGCCGGGGACUCAUAGGAGACUGCCGGGGUCAACUCGGAGGAAGGUGGGGAUGACGUCAAGUCCUCAUGCCCCUUAUGUCUUGGGCUGCAAACAUGCUACAAUGGCCAGUACAAAGGGUUGCGAGACCGCAAGGUGGAGCGAAUCCCAAAAAGCUGGUCUCAGUUCGGAUUGGGGUCUGCAACUCGACCCCAUGAAGUCGGAGUCGCUAGUAAUCGCGAAUCAGCAACGUCGCGGUGAAUACGUUCCCGGGUCUUGUACACACGC
RNAcentral lists this ribosomal RNA (436 nucleotides) under uncultured bacterium. Its description in RNAcentral is "bacterial SSU rRNA". It matches the Rfam family "Bacterial small subunit ribosomal RNA", at positions 958 to 1393 of the family's 1533-position model. The record is from RNAcentral.